This 396-nucleotide ribosomal RNA is filed under the name Botuliformidae sp. Its description in RNAcentral is "partial small subunit ribosomal RNA". It matches the Rfam family "Eukaryotic small subunit ribosomal RNA", at positions 582 to 975 of the family's 1831-position model. The record is from RNAcentral. Lineage: Eukaryota; Cercozoa; Thecofilosea.
AUUCCAGCUCCAAUAGCGUAUAUUAAAGUUGUUGCAGUUAAAAAGCUCGUAGUUGGAUUUCUGGUUUGAUGCCCUGGCCCGCUUCAAAUUUUGGAGUGUGUGCCGGCUGUGCGUCUGCCAUCCUUCUAGAAAACGUUCGUACCCUUCACUGGGCCGCGUUCGAGAUCUAGAUCUUUUACUUUGAAAAAAUUAGAGUGUUUAAAGCAGGCAGUUGCUAUGAAUACAUUAGCAUGGAAUAAUAAUCUAGGACUUCGGUUCUAUUUUGUUGGUUUGCACACCAAGGUAAUGAUUAAUAGGGAUAGUCGGGGGCAUUCGUAUUCAAACGACAGAGGUGAAAUUCUUGGACCGUUUGAAGACGAACUAAGGCGAAAGCAUUUGCCAAGAAUGUUUUCAUCA